Molecule: unclassified non-coding RNA, 160 nt
Filed under: uncultured Bartonella sp.
Lineage: Bacteria; Pseudomonadati; Pseudomonadota; Alphaproteobacteria; Hyphomicrobiales; Bartonellaceae
Description: partial 16S-23S ribosomal RNA intergenic spacer
Rfam family: tRNA (bases 75-148)
Source: RNAcentral
GCUACUUUUUUAGCUUUUAGAUUUGUUUCCAUUAUUCAGAUUAUGCCGGGGAAGGUUUUCCGGUUUAUCCCGGAGGGCUUGUAGCUCAGUUGGUUAGAGCGCGCGCUUGAUAAGCGUGAGGUCGGAGGUUCAAGUCCUCCCAGGCCCACCAAUUCAAUUA